CCUACGGGAGGCAGCAGUGGGGAAUUUUGGACAAUGGGCGAAAGCCUGAUCCAGCAAUGCCGCGUGCAGGAUGAAGGCCUUCGGGUUGUAAACUGCUUUUGUACGGAACGAAAAAGCUUCUCCUAAUACGAGAGGCCCAUGACGGUACCGUAAGAAUAAGCACCGGCUAACUGCGUGCCAGCAGCCGCGGUAAU
This 194-nucleotide ribosomal RNA is filed under the name uncultured Alphaproteobacteria bacterium. RNAcentral's name for it is "partial 16S ribosomal RNA". It matches the Rfam family "Bacterial small subunit ribosomal RNA", at positions 338 to 524 of the family's 1533-position model. Lineage: Bacteria; Pseudomonadati; Pseudomonadota; Alphaproteobacteria. The record is from RNAcentral.